CCUGGCGGCCGUAGCGCGGUGGUCCCACCUGACCCCAUGCCGAACUCAGAAGUGAAACGCCGUAGCGCCGAUGGUAGUGUGGG
RNAcentral lists this ribosomal RNA (83 nucleotides) under Escherichia coli. The record is from RNAcentral. Lineage: Bacteria; Pseudomonadati; Pseudomonadota; Gammaproteobacteria; Enterobacterales; Enterobacteriaceae. RNAcentral also lists the same sequence under 9 other names.